Molecule: long non-coding RNA, 338 nt
Organism: Clupea harengus (Atlantic herring)
Lineage: Eukaryota; Metazoa; Chordata; Actinopteri; Clupeiformes; Clupeidae
Exons: 3
Source: RefSeq, a predicted model, not a curated record
GCUCUAUGUGUGCCUAGGACCAAAGAAGAAGUUGGCCAUCUUUGUGCUAUCAUAGUGAAGAAAGUAGUCCAGACUGCUCAUUAUUACCUGCUCCCAGUCCUCAGUGAAAUUCUGGGAUGUCCUGUCUCAUACGUAUGUGGAAUGACAAGAUCAGGGCAACAAACAUUUUGGGUAAGCACCUCAGAGGCCAAGAGACCUGAAGGAUCAUCUCUACGCCAAGGAUCUCCGGGGAUAACAAAUGAAAUGUUCUUGGCAGCAGCCAAGAAAGAAGUCGAUGAGAUUUUUCGAGAAUCUGUCAGAAUAGUCAGUGGUUUGGAUCCAGUUGUGCCUGCCUUACC